UGCACGACCUGCGCAUGUGAAUUUGUUGAUGGCUUACUAUGGUGAGGCUGCUUCUCUCCAGAGGAGCCAACAUUAAUGCCUUUGACAAGAAGGAUCGCCGAGCAAUCCACUGGGCUGCUUACAUGGGGCACAUUGAGGUGGUGAAACUGCUGGCCUCUCAUGGAUCAGAGUUGUCCUGUAAAGACAAGAAGGCCUACAC
Molecule: long non-coding RNA, 199 nt
Organism: Coregonus clupeaformis (lake whitefish)
Lineage: Eukaryota; Metazoa; Chordata; Actinopteri; Salmoniformes; Salmonidae
Exons: 3
Source: RefSeq, a predicted model, not a curated record